CAAGGGGCCGGCCUCUUUAGAGAGAAAUGGAGAGACAUGUUCUCUCCAAUUUUCUCCAAAACAAACCCUAAUGAACAAAAGGCUAUAAAGUCAUAUUUAUACCUUUGUUCAUUUGAGUGGCAAACUUGUAAUUAAAGCAAGUUCACUACCCUUCCUCUAAAUGGCUGGCCAUGGGGUGUUGUUUGGGCUUUUGGGUCUUAGUGAAUUAAGUUGUCAUACAACUUAAGUCAAUGGACUUGACGUUCGAAGCCCAUUGGGCCUUAAGGUCCAAAACUAUCCCGAGGUCUUUAACGAAAUUAUUCGUUUGAUUAAUUAACAUAUUAAUUAAUCCUUGCCAUAAAUAAAUAAUUAAACCAUUUAAUCAUUCUUACUCAUCUCCAUUGUUUCUUCAAUCUCCACCUUACACGGUGUGCGAUCCAUUAGGUUCCUUUUAGCAAGGCAGUGGGCGAUUAAAACCAUUUUACAUCGAUUGUGAAUUGAAACUUACUUUCAAUUCUCCCUUUAGUGAUU
Molecule: long non-coding RNA, 510 nt
Filed under: Malus domestica (apple)
Lineage: Eukaryota; Viridiplantae; Streptophyta; Magnoliopsida; Rosales; Rosaceae
Description: long non-coding RNA (MDOM_LNC016943)
Source: RNAcentral